GGAGACUCCAGGUGCAGGAGAGGGGGAGGUGGACUUCCUCUUGGUCUUCCCAAGCCAUGAAACUUCCUGGCUUGGUGGUAACAGAAGAGUCUCCUCCAGUUCCCUUGAAGAAUCCACCUUCCUGCAGGGUUGGGGGAGCGCAGAAUGGGAGGAAGAUACAAAUACCAAUUUUAUAGCAAGAAUGCAAAAAGAGGCCAGCGCGGUGGCUCGAGCCUGGAAUCCCAGCACUUUGGAAGGCGAGCUGGGCGGAUCACUUGAGAUGUGACCAGGUGACCCCCCUCUGGCCAGGGAACAAUGGGCCGAAGUCCUCAGGGGAUUUGUGGGGAAGCGCGCCCCCUCCUCCUUGGGGUUUUCUUGCGGAGCUGCUGUGAAGACUCAGCUCAGCUGUGAUAAUUACCUGAGGUCAGCUUCUCCAGAAUGCCCUUAUCUCCUAAGGCCUUUGAGAUAAGCAGGAAUUGUGGUGUCUGCCUUGCCUCCAAACCUUUAUCCUUGCUUAUCUCAGUGGAAAAUUCCAGCAGGGAUUUCUGAACACCAAGUUAAAUUCCUCCACUCAACAAUCAGUUUGGCACGUGGCUGCCCGCCAGUCUGGGCAGAACAGAGGGGAGCCAAGGGAAUAAACCCAAGUCCUGCCCCCAGGUGCCCAGAGCCUGGCGGGGAUGGGACAGUUGCCUGCAGAGCAAGAGGCUGCCACCCAGUUUCACACAGGCCAGAGAGGCUGACCUACCUGCCCAGAGGCAGGGGAAGAAUCCAGAGGACCUCUCCCGGAGGAGGCACGAGAAGCCCACGUGGCAGCCAAGAAGAGGGAGAGCAUCCUGGGCCCCGGAAGCACAAUGCCAGGGGCAGACAUGCACUGGGAGGCACGGGGCCAGGGACACCUUCAGUGAGCACAGGGUCUGGGUAGGCUUCGGGAGGGGUGAGGGCGGAGAGGCAGCCAAGCCGGGUUGUGGGAGGCCCUGCCUAAUUCUGUAAAGACUAGGAUUAGAAACAUGACAAAAAUGGGUUAGGCACGGUGGCUCACACCUGUUAUCCACUUUGGGAGGCUGAGGCUGGUGGAUCAUCUGAGGCUGGGAGUUCAAGACCAACCUGGCCAACAUGGUGAAACCCCGUCUCUACUAAAAAUACAAAAAUUAGCCGGGCGUGGUGGCGCACACCUAUUAAUCCCAGGUACUAAGGAGGUUGAGGCAGGAGAAUUGCUUCAACCCAGGAGGCAGAGGUUGCAGUGAGCCCAGACCAUGCCACUGCACUCCAGCCUGGGCAACAGAACAAGUCUCUGUCUGAAAAAUAAAAUAAAAUAACAAAAA
This 1301-nucleotide long non-coding RNA is filed under the name Homo sapiens (human). RNAcentral's name for it is "RAB17 divergent transcript (RAB17-DT)". The record is from RNAcentral. Lineage: Eukaryota; Metazoa; Chordata; Mammalia; Primates; Hominidae.